ACAUCCCUUAUCGAACAAUCACAAUUCGAUAGAUACCUGUCGAACUGUAGAUGUUUAAUAUGUACCCUAUCGAAUUUUGGUUGUUUGAUAAGGUG
This 95-nucleotide microRNA precursor is filed under the name Oryza punctata. RNAcentral's name for it is "pre miRNA MIR439". The record is from RNAcentral. Lineage: Eukaryota; Viridiplantae; Streptophyta; Magnoliopsida; Poales; Poaceae.